Molecule: ribosomal RNA, 253 nt
Filed under: uncultured bacterium
Lineage: Bacteria
Description: partial 16S ribosomal RNA
Rfam family: Bacterial small subunit ribosomal RNA
Source: RNAcentral
UACGGAGGGGGCAAGCGUUGUUCGGAAUUACUGGGCGUAAAGGGCGCGUAGGCGGCCUUCUAAGUCGAACGUGAAAUCCCCGGGCUCAACCCGGGAACUGCGUCCGAUACUGGAAGGCUUGAAUCCGGGAGAGGGAUGCGGAAUUCCAGGUGUAGCGGUGAAAUGCGUAGAUAUCUGGAGGAACACCGGUGGCGAAGGCGGCAUCCUGGACCGGCAUUGACGCUGAGGCGCGAAAGCCAGGGGAGCAAACGGG